Molecule: ribosomal RNA, 344 nt
Filed under: uncultured Bacillota bacterium
Lineage: Bacteria; Bacillati; Bacillota
Description: bacterial SSU rRNA
Rfam family: Bacterial small subunit ribosomal RNA
Source: RNAcentral
GACGAACGCUGGCGGCGUGCCUAACACAUGCAAGUCGAGCGAAGUUUUCAAAGCAGAUUUCUUCGGAUUGAAGCUUUGAUUAUCUUAGCGGCGGACGGGUGAGUAACGCGUGAGAAACCUGCCUUUCACAAAGGGAUAGCCUCGGGAAACUGGGAUUAAUACCUUAUGAUACUAAUUCUUCGCAUGAAGAAUUAGUCAAAGCGUAAAGCGGUGAAAGAUGGUCUCGCGUCCCAUUAGUUAGUUGGUGAGGUAACGGCUCACCAAGACCGCGAUGGGUAGCCGGCCUGAGAGGGUGAACGGCCACACUGGAACUGAGACACGGUCCAGACUCCUACGGGAGGCUG